UGGGAAUUGACAGCUGACAGUCUGGAGAAUAUCAAAGAAGCCUCCCAGGGAGGGUGAUGCUUGGAAUGGUUUUAAAGAACCCAUGAGAAUUACCCAGAUCAACCAGAGAACGAGCAAUCUAAAACAUCUGCCGUCAGACUUUGGUUUCAUAUAAUACAGAAGAUGCAAGCUAGCUUACUGCUCCAAGGCCCUGUUCGUGAAAAGAUACAGAGUUGCUUCUGUGCUUCUAUGCUAAGCAGGGAUCCCAAUGCAGGACUCGAGUCCAGGACUCCAGGACCAUGACCUGAGCUGAAGGAAGUCACUUAACCAACUGAGCCACCCAGGAGCCCUUAACCAAUUUCUAAACACAUAACUAAAGACUGA
RNAcentral lists this long non-coding RNA (363 nucleotides) under Mustela putorius furo (domestic ferret). Its description in RNAcentral is "lncRNA (ENSMPUG00000028753.1)". The record is from RNAcentral. Lineage: Eukaryota; Metazoa; Chordata; Mammalia; Carnivora; Mustelidae.